CCGAGUCUUAACCGGGCGUUAAGUUGCAGGGUAUAGACCCGAAACCCGGUGAUCUAGCCAUGGGCAGGUUGAAGGUUGGGUAACACUAACUGGAGGACCGAACCGACUAAUGUUGAAAAAUUAGCGGAUGACCUGUGGCUGGGGGUGAAAGGCCAAUCAAACCGGGAGAUAGCUGGUUCUCCCCGAAAGCUAUUUAGGUAGCGCCUCGUGAACUCAUCUUCGGGGGUAGAGCACUGUUUCGGCUAGGGGGUCAUCCCGACUUACCAACCCGAUGCAAACUGCGAAUACCGGAGAAUGUUAUCACGGGAGACACACGGCGGGUGCUAACGUCCGUCGUGAAGAGGGAAACAACCCAGACCGCCAGCUAAGGUCCCAAAGUCAUGGUUAAGUGGGAAACGAUGUGGGAAGGCCCAGACAGCCAGGAUGUUGGCUUAGAAGCAGCCAUCAUUUAAAGAAAGCGUAAUAGCUCACUGGUCGAGUCGGCCUGCGCGGAAGAUGUAACGGGGCUAAACCAUGCACCGAAGCUGCGGCAGCGACGCUUAUGCGUUGUUGGGUAGGGGAGCGUUCUGUAAGCCGUUGAAGGUGGCCUGUGAGGGUUGCUGGAGGUAUCAGAAGUGCGAAUGCUGACAUAAGUAACGAUAAAGCGGGUGAAAAGCCCGCUCGCCGGAAGACCAAGGGUUCCUGUCCAACGUUAAUCGGGGCAGGGUGAGUCGACCCCUAAGGCGAGGCCGAAAGGCGUAGUCGAUGGGAAACAGGUUAAUAUUCCUGUACUCGGUGUUACUGCGAAGGGGGGACGGAGAAGGCUAUGUUGGCCGGGCGACGGUUGUCCCGGUUUAAGCAUGUAGGCGGGUGUUCCAGGUAAAUCCGGAACGCUGUUAACGCUGAGGUGUGAUGACGAGGCACUACGGUGCUGAAGCAACAAAUGCCCUGCUUCCAGGAAAAGCCUCUAAGCAUCAGGUAACAUCAAAUCGUACCCCAAACCGACACAGGUGGUCAGGUAGAGAAUACCAAGGCGCUUGAGAGAACUCGGGUGAAGGAACUAGGCAAAAUGGUGCCGUAACUUCGGGAGAAGGCACGCUGAUGGUAGGUGAAGUGAUUUACUCAUGGAGCUGAAAUCAGUCGAAGAUACCAGCUGGCUGCAACUGUUUAUUAAAAACACAGCACUGUGCAAACACGAAAGUGGACGUAUACGGUGUGACGCCUGCCCGGUGCCGGAAGGUUAAUUGAUGGGGUUAUCCUCGCGGAGAAGCUC
RNAcentral lists this ribosomal RNA (1252 nucleotides) under Salmonella enterica. Its description in RNAcentral is "partial 23S ribosomal RNA". It matches the Rfam family "Bacterial large subunit ribosomal RNA", at positions 677 to 1907 of the family's 2925-position model. The record is from RNAcentral. Lineage: Bacteria; Pseudomonadati; Pseudomonadota; Gammaproteobacteria; Enterobacterales; Enterobacteriaceae.